RNAcentral lists this ribosomal RNA (254 nucleotides) under uncultured bacterium. RNAcentral describes it as "partial 16S ribosomal RNA". It matches the Rfam family "Bacterial small subunit ribosomal RNA", at positions 524 to 777 of the family's 1533-position model. The record is from RNAcentral.
UACGGGGGGGGCAAGCGUUGUUCGGAAUUACUGGGCGUAAAGGGCUCGUAGGCGGCCAACUAAGUCAGACGUGAAAUCCCUCGGCUUAACCGGGGAACUGCAUCUGAUACUGGAUGGCUUGAGUUCGGGAGAGGGAUGCGGAAUUCCAGGUGUAGCGGUGAAAUGCGUAGAUAUCUGGAGGAACACCGGUGGCGAAGGCGGCAUCCUGGACCGACACUGACGCUGAGGAGCGAAAGCCAGGGGAGCAAACGGGG